Long non-coding RNA from Brassica napus (rape), 1081 nucleotides. RefSeq lists it as uncharacterized. The transcript is spliced from 5 exons. The record is from RefSeq and is a predicted model, not a curated record. Lineage: Eukaryota; Viridiplantae; Streptophyta; Magnoliopsida; Brassicales; Brassicaceae.
GGAAUCAAGAUUUAUAACAUAAACAAGCUCCAUGGGAAACCUAUUCAUCUAAACAAGAUACAUUUGUUCCUCUAUCUUUUGUUAUUAAGCAUAAUAUUUUUUAUUUACUAGGAAGUUUUUAGGAACUUUUUAGCAAAAAAGAAAAAAAAAGUUUUGGGAACUUGGAUUCUUGCGAGUUUUGUUGCAGAGACAUAUUUAAUUGCUCCUCUCCUGUUGUAAUUGAAUUAGGACUCUCAAGAUAGGAAGACUUUCGAUGUUGGUACUAAUCUUUUCAUUGGAAACCUUGGCUCUGUAUGUAUAUAUGAUAUCUGGUGGUAACUAUAUUGUGAAAUAAUUUAGCAAAAAAAAAAAAAACUAUAUUGUGAAAUAUUGGUAUUUCACUACAAUAGCUGAUUAGGUUUUGCUUUAACAGGAUGUGGAUGAAAAGAUCGUGUAUGAUACUUUCAGCACAUUUGGUGAAUUGGUGGCAUUGCUUCUAAUCCUAAAAUAAUUUGAAGUUUACAGACCGGGUCUUGGCUCCAAGUUGUCCCCGGGUCUCUGAAGCCGUUACCCUUGCCCAGUGGAUCUCUCAAAGCUACACUCACAACUUAGGCUCGGAGUUAGUAAACGAUUGCCUCUCUUGGAAGCAAGACUCUGUUGAAACUUAUAUGGAAUCACCAAGAUGCCAUCUUGUGUUGCUCUUUAAAGCCUCAACCAGUGUUUAUGUUCGCGAACCAAGCUGGUUUAGACAUGCUAGAGACAACGCUUGUAGCCUUACAAGACAUUGCACUGGAAAAGAUCUUUGAUGAAUCUGGUCGAAAGGCUCUUUGCUCAGACUUCGCCAAGCUAAUGCAACAGGAAUUUGCGUGCUUGCCUUCAGGAAUCUGUUUGUCUACAAUGGGGGACAUGCCACUUAUGAACAAGCUGUUGCUUGGAAAGUGUUUGCUGUAUCCGAUAACGACAAUAAUAAUAAUUUGCAUUGUCUUGCUUUCUCCUUUGUAAACUGGUCGUUUGUGUAGUCUCAUCUCUAAUGAGUGUAUUAGUAAAGGCUAAUCAAAUUUACAUUAUAGACAACACACUUUUUGUUGUUGUUGUUGCGUAA